RNAcentral lists this ribosomal RNA (600 nucleotides) under uncultured Alphaproteobacteria bacterium. Its description in RNAcentral is "bacterial SSU rRNA". It matches the Rfam family "Bacterial small subunit ribosomal RNA", at positions 91 to 725 of the family's 1533-position model. Lineage: Bacteria; Pseudomonadati; Pseudomonadota; Alphaproteobacteria. The record is from RNAcentral.
CUUAGUGGCAGACGGGUGAGUAACAUGUAGGUAUCUGCCCUUUGGCCUGGAAUAACACGAGGAAACUUGUGCUAAUACCGGAUAAGUCUUUACGGAGAAAGCUUUAUGCACCAUUGGAUGAGCCUGCACUUGAUUAGUUUGUUGGUGGGGUAAUGGCCUACCAAGACUGUGAUCAAUAGCUGAUUUGAGAGGAUGAUCAGCCACAUUGGGACUGAGACACGGCCCAAACUCCUACGGGAGGCAGCAGUGGGGAAUCUUGCACAAUGGAGGAAACUCUGAUGCAGCGAUGCCGCGUGAGUGAAGAAGGCCCUUGGGUUGUAAAGCUCUUUCGUCGGGGAAGAAAAUGACUGUACCCGAAUAAGAAGGUCCGGCUAACUUCGUGCCAGCAGCCGCGGUAAUACGAAGGGACCUAGCGUAGUUCGGAAUUACUGGGCUUAAAGAGUUCGUAGGUGGUUGAAAAAGUUGGUGGUGAAAUCCCAGAGCUUAACUCUGGAACUGCCAUCAAAACUUUUCAGCUAGAGUAUGAUAGAGGAAAGCAGAAUUUCUAGUGUAGAGGUGAAAUUCGUAGAUAUUAGAAAGAAUACCAAUUGCGAAGGCAGC